GCGCGGCCUGGAGCGGCGGCUCUCCGGCCUCCUGCGCCGCGUCAUCGGCCCGUCCGAGCCCGACGCCGCGGC
This 72-nucleotide transfer RNA is filed under the name Methylorubrum suomiense. Its description in RNAcentral is "tRNA-Arg". The record is from RNAcentral. Lineage: Bacteria; Pseudomonadati; Pseudomonadota; Alphaproteobacteria; Hyphomicrobiales; Methylobacteriaceae.